CCUCGCUGCACUCAUGGCUUCUCCUAGCAAGGCAGUGAUUGUUCCCGGGAACGGAGGCGGGGAUGUGACCACCCACGGCUGGUAUGGCUGGGUGAAAAAGGAGCUGGAGAAGUUACAGCACGAGAGAGCAUCUGGCUGCCCUUCAUGGAGACAGAGCUGCACUGUGAUGAGAAGACUAUCAUCAUUGGCCACAGUUCUGGGGCCAUCGCGGCCAUGAGGAUACUUCACCCGCCCCUGGCAGUGGGAGAAGAUCAAGGCCAACUGCCCUUACAUUGUGCAGUUUGGCUCUACUGACGACCCGUUCCUUCCCUGGAAGGAACAACAAGAAGUGGCCGAUAGGUUGGAAACCAAAUUGCACAAAUUCACUGACUGUGGCCACUUUCAGAACACAGAGUUUCAUGAACUGAUUACUGUUGUAAAGUCUUUGCUGAAAGUACCAGCAUAGACUGUAUGAUUUCUGCUAUUUUGCAUCCCAAUAUAGGAGUAGAAUAAUAUCUACUAUCAGCUGAUUACUAGACACAUAGAACAUCCAGUUAAGUUCCGUAAGUGCCUGAAAAACAAACACAAGUUUCAACAUUCAAUCUAAGUUACAAAUAGCACUUCCAUUUUCCAUAGACUCUAAAACUCCCCAAAUUGCUAUGAACUACCACAGUAUUUUCCUCAUUUGAUAAGAAACAUAAGGACAGCUUAACUACCCUUCUCUAUCCGAAGUGAGUCAGAAACAGAACCCAGGUUUCUUGAUUCCCACUCCUGAGUAAAAUUAAAUAGGUUUUAUGUAUGUUGCAGGUAUUGCACACUUUUCCUCUUUGAAAUCAAACUUUUCUAUUUCACUGGGGAAAGAAAACAUGACUGAAAGUCCAGAGUGUUAGCUUAGAGCUCAAAAUACUAGCUGCUGUUUCAAGCUGGCCCCAGACAUUAAAC
This 921-nucleotide long non-coding RNA is filed under the name Homo sapiens (human). Its description in RNAcentral is "non-protein coding lnc-DZANK1-4:1". The record is from RNAcentral. Lineage: Eukaryota; Metazoa; Chordata; Mammalia; Primates; Hominidae.